Molecule: ribosomal RNA, 302 nt
Filed under: uncultured bacterium
Lineage: Bacteria
Description: bacterial SSU rRNA
Rfam family: Bacterial small subunit ribosomal RNA
Source: RNAcentral
AGUAAAUAGAUACCCCGGUAGUCCACGCUGUAAACGAUGAGUGCUGGACGUUGGCGGGUUUACCUGCCGGUGUCGCAGCUAAACGCGUUAAGCACUCCGCCUGGGGAGUACGGCCGCAAGGUUAAAACUCAAAGGAAUUGACGGGGGCCCGCACAAGCGGUGGAGCAUGUGGUUUAAUUCGACGCAACGCGCAGAACCUUACCAGCCCUUGACAUGGGCGGACGGGGUCCAGAGAUGGACUCUUUCUCGCAAGAGACCGCUACACAGGUGCUGCAUGGCUGUCGUCAGCUCGUGUCGUGAGA